Plasmodium falciparum 3D7 is the source of this 1026-nucleotide non-coding RNA. The record is from RefSeq and is a predicted model, not a curated record. Lineage: Eukaryota; Apicomplexa; Aconoidasida; Haemosporida; Plasmodiidae.
AUACUCAUAUCUUAUUUGAGGUAUGUAUACUCAUAUCUUAUUUGAGGUAUGUAUACACAUAUUUUUUUUAUAGGUUUGUAUACACAUAUCUUAUUAGAGGUAUGUAUACACAUAUUUUUUUUUAUAGGUUUGUAUACCCAUAUCUUAUUAGAGGUAUGUAUACACAUAUGUUGUUAGAGGUAUGUAUACACAUAUGUUGUUAGAGGUAUGUAUACACAUAUGUUGUUAGAAAUAUGUAUACACAUAUGUUGUUAGAUGUAUGUAUACACAUAUCUUAUUAGAGGUAUGUAUACACAUAUGCAUAUUUUACAAUUAAGUAAAAUAUGUCAUAUGACUUUUAAUUUCAGACUUAAUAAAUUUUUCAGAUUUACAAAUUGAACAAGAUUCAAAAGGAUUUAACUUUUAUCUAUCAUAUAGUUAUAGUUAAUUCUUUUGAAGAUUGAGUAUUCAGAAUGUAUAACAUUUUUUUGUUAUAAGAAGAAAGGAUUAUUUUUAUUAUCCAUGUGUAAGUUUAUGUAAAUUGAAUAAAUUUUUACUUGUUAUUAUUAGAAAAAAAUAAAAAGUAAAAAGUAAAAAAUAAAAAAAAAAAAGUAAAAAGUAAAAAAAAAAAAGUAAAAAGUAAAAAAAAAAAGUAAAAAGUAAAAAGUAAAAAAGUAAAAAGUAAAAAAGUAAAAAGUAAAAAGUAAAAAAGUAAAAAAAAAAAAAGUAAAAAAAAAAAAUUAAAAAAAAAAAAAGAAAAAAAAAAAAAAAAAAAAAAAAAAAAAAAAAAAAAAAAAAAAGUAAAAAAAAAAAAAGUAAAAAAAAAAAAAGUAAAAAAAAAAAAAGUAAAAAGUAAAAAGUAAAAAAAAAUAAAAAAAAAAAGUAAAAAAAAAAAAAAAAAAAAGUAAAAAAAAAGUAAAAAAAAAAAAAAAAAAAAGUAAAAAAAAAAAAAAAAAAAAAAAAAAAAAAAAAAAAAAAAAAGUAAAAAAAAAAACCUAUUUAUAUAUAUACUUAUUUUUUAUUUUAUGCAUAUACGCAUUCAUAUAC